Molecule: long non-coding RNA, 904 nt
Organism: Cyprinus carpio carpio
Lineage: Eukaryota; Metazoa; Chordata; Actinopteri; Cypriniformes; Cyprinidae
Source: Ensembl
GAGAAAGUAUGGUGGCCAAACGACCAUCUUUAGGGGUCAAAAGGUCAUAAAAGGGAGCGCACUUCCACCAAACUGGUACGCGUUUAAAUUGGAGGUGGGACGUUCACCGUUCGGAGACUAAAGGUCAUAGGGCCCCGAGAUUUGAGAUUCUGGCAUCUCAGGGGCCCCUCACCCGAGGCCCCGAAGCACGUAGCCGUAGGACCUUGCGAAAAAAAAAGCGCACUAGGGCCUCGCGCUUUUGACUGCACGCUCUGGGGGCCCCCAGGAGCCACCGAGCCAAGUUUCGGGCUCCUGGGACGUUUCUAAAAAAAUCCCACCUGCAAUUUAUUUGAAUGGGUUUGGCCUAGCGGUUUCGUGGACACGGCUCGCGAGGGUCCGAUCGGGCCGAUUUUGGGAUAUUUGUCUCGGGGGGACCCCCUUAACCGGGCAGGAAAGUAUGGUGGCCAAACGACCUUCUUUAGGGGUCAAAGGGUCAAAAAAGGGAGCGUACGUCCACCAAACAGGUACGCGUUUAAAUUGGAGGUGGGACGUCCACCGUUCGGAGACUAAAGGUCAUAGGGCCCCGAGAUUUGAGAUUCUGGCAUCUCAGGGGCCCCUCACCCACGACCCUGAAGUACGUAGCUGUAGGACCUCGGGAAAAAAAGUGCUUUGCACUAGGACCCUGCGCUUUUGACUGCACGCUCUGGGGGGCCAGAGGAGCCACCGAGCCAAGUUUCGGGCUCCUGGGACAUUUCUAAAAAAAAAUCCCACCUGCAAUUAAUUUGUGAAAAAAUGUGAAAAAAAAGUGAAAAAAAUGGCAGCUGGGAUGUUUUCACCUAAAGAAAUGUACAUUUCCAAUUUAUUCAGCGGGACCAUCGUAGUGCUCCCGUGGACAUUCAUUUUUAUGCAAAUUCUACAGUAUUAA